UGGUGGAGUGAUUUGUCUGGUUCAUUCCGUUAACGAACGAGACCUUAACCUGCUAAAUAGUUACACGUAACUUCGGUUACGUGGGCAACUUCUUAGAGGGACUUUACGUGUCUAACGUAAGGAAGUUUGAGGCAAUAACA
RNAcentral lists this ribosomal RNA (140 nucleotides) under uncultured eukaryote. Its description in RNAcentral is "partial 18S ribosomal RNA". It matches the Rfam family "Eukaryotic small subunit ribosomal RNA", at positions 1299 to 1458 of the family's 1831-position model. The record is from RNAcentral.